RNAcentral lists this long non-coding RNA (299 nucleotides) under Nicotiana benthamiana. RNAcentral describes it as "long non-coding RNA (NBEN_LNC022611)". The record is from RNAcentral. Lineage: Eukaryota; Viridiplantae; Streptophyta; Magnoliopsida; Solanales; Solanaceae.
GGUUAUGACAAUAAUCAAAUUUGGUGUAUGGUUUUCCACACUAUUUGCAAGACAACAAUGGAUUGUGUACUCUUGAUUUAAUGGGAGGAAGAAGAGCUUGUCUUGCACUAAUGUGGGAAUCAUAACCCCACUUAAUAACAAAUGAGUUACAUAACCCAAGAGUCUUGAAAGAGUUACAUAACUCAAGAGUCACAAGUAUGUAACCAUGGUUACAUAUGUAACCUUAGUUAGCCCAUCAUUAACUAAGGUUACCCUUUUGGGUAUCUACACAUUAGUCCUACACUUUAGUAUGACANNNN